Molecule: long non-coding RNA, 691 nt
Filed under: Mytilus galloprovincialis (Mediterranean mussel)
Lineage: Eukaryota; Metazoa; Mollusca; Bivalvia; Mytilida; Mytilidae
Source: RNAcentral
GCCCAUUACUCCGACAGCCCACUAUUCCGACAGCCCAUUACUCCGACAGCCCACUAUUCCGACAACCCAUUACGCCGACAGCCCUUUAUUCGGACAAUGCAUUUUUGUCAUGUGUAUGAGUAAUUUUUUUCUAUAAAAGACCAACUCCGUUCUCUGUAAUAUUUGUGGUUGUCCGUUUUGAUCCCAAUUAUUCUUUCCAUGCGGGAUAUAAGUCUCAGUACAUUGGAGUUGAUACACAUGCUUAUUGCAACUGCUCAGUCCUUACCCUGGUCCCGCUUUCGUUUUACGUGUCUGGGUAUUUUAUUUUUCUUUACAUUUCAUCGUUUGUGUGUCCACUCUCAGUCUGUGCUGUUCUAGUUCGCUGAGUGUUUUGUGUGUGUCUUGAUCUACCUUCUUUCACUAGAUCGUCGGUUACCCCCUUUUGCGUAUCAGGGGAGUGAGGUUUCAUCACUAUUAACUACAUAACGAAAUAUAUCGGAGUUGGAUAACACUACCCACCCUCUUUGGUCGCAACACUUUCUACCCCUUGUAUCACUCAUCUGAGUUUUAUUUAAAUUAAUUUUGUCGCAGAAAUAAGAAACUAAUGAAGCGUCAGUCAAAUUGAGAAAAACAAAGAGACAAAUACAUACCCAGAUCCUUAAAAAUAAGAUGACAACUAGGACGAAAUAUGUGCUCAGAAAAGAUAAGCAAU